Molecule: ribosomal RNA, 523 nt
Filed under: uncultured bacterium
Lineage: Bacteria
Description: partial 16S ribosomal RNA
Rfam family: Bacterial small subunit ribosomal RNA
Source: RNAcentral
GACGAACGCUGGCGGCGUGCCUAAUACAUGCAAGUCGAACGCUUUUUCUUUCACCGGAGCUUGCUCCACCGAAAGAAAAAGAGUGGCGAACGGGUGAGUAACACGUGGGUAACCUGCCCAUCAGAGGGGGAUAACACUUGGAAACAGGUGCUAAUACCGUAUAACACUAUUUUCCGCAUGGAAGAAAGUUGAAAGGCGCUUUUGCGUCAAUGAUGGAUGGACCGGCGGUGCAUUAGCUAGUUGGUGAGGUAACGGCUCACCAAGGCAACGAUGCAUAGCCGACCUGAGAGGGUGAUCGGCCACACUGGGACUGAGACACGGCCCAGACUCCUACGGGAGGCAGCAGUAGGGAAUCUUCGGCAAUGGACGAAAGUCUGACCGAGCAACGCCGCGUGAGUGAAGAAGGUUUUCGGAUCGUAAAACUCUGUCGUUAGAGAAGAACAAGGAUGAGAGUAAAACGUUCAUCCCUUGACGGUAUCUAACCAGAAAGCCACGGCUAACUACGUGCCAGCCGCCGCUGUAA